This 429-nucleotide ribosomal RNA is filed under the name Actinomycetes bacterium. RNAcentral's name for it is "Actinobacteria bacterium partial 16S ribosomal RNA". It matches the Rfam family "Bacterial small subunit ribosomal RNA", at positions 355 to 776 of the family's 1533-position model. Lineage: Bacteria; Bacillati; Actinomycetota; Actinomycetes. The record is from RNAcentral.
UAGGGAAUCUUCCGCAAUGGGCGAAAGCCUGACGGAGCAACGCCGCGUGAGUGAUGAAGGUCUUCGGAUCGUAAAACUCUGUUAUUAGGGAAGAACAAAUGUGUAAGUAACUAUGCACGUCUUGACGGUACCUAAUCAGAAAGCCACGGCUAACUACGUGCCAGCAGCCGCGGUAAUACGUAGGUGGCAAGCGUUAUCCGGAAUUAUUGGGCGUAAAGCGCGCGUAGGCGGUUUUUUAAGUCUGAUGUGAAAGCCCACGGCUCAACCGUGGAGGGUCAUUGGAAACUGGAAAACUUGAGUGCAGAAGAGGAAAGUGGAAUUCCAUAUGUAGCGGUGAAAUGCGCAGAGAUAUGGAGGAACACCAGUGGCGAAGGCGACUUUCUGGUCUGUAACUGACGCUGAUGUGCGAAAGCGUGGGGAUCAAACAGG